RNAcentral lists this long non-coding RNA (1161 nucleotides) under Phasianus colchicus (ring-necked pheasant). Its description in RNAcentral is "lncRNA (ENSPCLG00000002579.1)". Lineage: Eukaryota; Metazoa; Chordata; Aves; Galliformes; Phasianidae. The record is from RNAcentral.
GCUGCAAAACUCCGGGCACGGCCACGAUGUGAAACCGGAAGCCUACGGAGCCGAGCGAGGGCCUCCCGCUGCCGGCCGGGACGCGGUUCCCCCUCCCCGGGGUGGUUGUGUAAUGCACGGCCCCCGCCUGGGGAGCAACCCCGCGCCCCGCCCGGCGGCCAACCCCGCGUACCUGUCCCGCAGGCGGGCAGCGGGCAGCCCGGAGCCACCUGCCGUGCCGGAGCCACCUGCGCUGCGCUACACCCCGGGUGUCCCGCGGCACCGCCCGCCUCUCCUGCGCUCAGCCGGGCUCGCGGUGAACAGCAGCAAGUCGCAACGCUGCUCACCCCGCCCCGGGGGAGCCGCUCGGUCCGCUCCACGCGGCGCACCACCUCCCGCAACUCCCCGCCGGAAGGAAAAGCAAUAAUAAACCUAAGCGAAGCAGUAAACGGCAACGCACCGGCGUCUCCUUCUGGCUUGAGGCGCUCCGGGGGCUGCGCGCUGCAUCCGCCGCGGGCGGGGGCAGCUGGGGAGCGGACGGGCAGCCCCUCUCUCCUGGCGGCAGGGGGAAGGCUGGCGGCCGAGAGAGGUGAUCCGCGCCGCGCUCCGCAGCGUGCGGCUCCCUUCCUCCGUCCGAAGCGGCUCCUCCCGCUCGCUGCUGGCGCUCCGGGGUCGUGCCUGCGGGUCGCUGUCUCGCCGCCUCCUUGCCCCGCGCUCUCCCUCCCUUCCCUCGCUCAGCUCGGUGCUCCGGCCGCGGCCCCCGCUACCUGUGCCGGAGGUGCGUCCCGGCGGCUGCAGCGCCGCUCCCCGCCGCGCACGGCAGUCUCCGACCAGGAAGAGGCAGCGGGAGGGGGCACCGCCGUGCCCCGCAGCUCGCUCCGCCGGGAGGAGCCGGGGCGGAUGAGCCCCUUCAGCCCCGCGGGGAGGCCGGGCGUCCUGCUGCUCAGCUCGGGACAAAGGAGCGAGGUCGGGGGCGCGGACUUGCCCCUAGGGCUCCGACUUUCCCCUGGGGCGUGGGAGUUCCUGCCACCGGCUGCGGGGAGGCUGAUAGCUGCCCUUUGCGGUGUGACAGCCCUGGGUACCCCUCACUCAGGCAGUUGGCCUCAUGGAGAAAAAUCAAAGUUGUGUGCCAGCAAAUGUAACUCUGUGCUGUGCCUGGUCAGACAGAGACCGUUGGCGUAA